RNAcentral lists this ribosomal RNA (162 nucleotides) under Triticum aestivum (bread wheat). RNAcentral describes it as "partial small subunit ribosomal RNA". The record is from RNAcentral. Lineage: Eukaryota; Viridiplantae; Streptophyta; Magnoliopsida; Poales; Poaceae.
AUGUUGCUUGUCUCUUGGGAAAUUUGGAAGGAGCGUAACGCCCGGGUUUUUCGUAACACUAUGGUUUCAGUGGGAGUGUUGGUCACCAAGAUAAAGGAGAAAUGUUUACUUUGGAACCUGGCGGGCACAAAGCACUUGUGUAAUAUAAUGUCGCGUGAGUAG